AGUGAACGCUGGCGGUAGGCCUAACACAUGCAAGUCGAACGGCAGCACAGUAAGAGCUUGCUCUUACGGGUGGCGAGUGGCGGACGGGUGAGGAAUACAUCGGAAUCUACUUUUUCGUGGGGGAUAACGUAGGGAAACUUACGGUAAUAACGCAUACGAACUACGGGUGAAAGCAGGGGAUCUUCGGACCUUGCGGGAUUGAAUGAGCCGAUGUCGGAUUAGCUAGUUGGGGGGGUAAAGGCCCACCAAGGCGACGAUCCGUAGCUGGUCUGAGAGGAUGAUCAGCCACACUGGAACUGAGACACGGUCCAGACUCCUACGGGAGGCAGCAGUGGGGAAUAUUGGACAAUGGGCGCAAGCCUGAUCCAGCCAUACCGCGUGGGUGAAGAAGGCCUUCGGGUUGUAAAGCCCUUUUGUUGGGAAAGAAAAGCAGCAGGUUAAUACCCCGCUGUUCUGACGGUACCCAAAGAAUAAGCACCGGCUAACUUCGUG
Molecule: ribosomal RNA, 492 nt
Filed under: uncultured bacterium
Lineage: Bacteria
Description: partial 16S ribosomal RNA
Rfam family: Bacterial small subunit ribosomal RNA
Source: RNAcentral